ACCCGCUGAACUUAAGCAUAUCAAUAAGCGGAGGAAAAGAAACCAACAGGGAUUGCCUCAGUAACGGCGAGUGAAGCGGCAACAGCUCAAAUUUGAAAUCUGGCACCCUCGGGGCCCGAGUUGUAAUUUGCAGAGGGUGCUUUGGCGUUGGCUGUGGUCUAAGUUCCUUGGAACAGGACGUCGCAGAGGGUGAGAAUCCCGUAUGUGGCCGCCAGCCUCCGCCGUGUAAAGCCCCUUCGACGAGUCGAGUUGUUUGGGAAUGCAGCUCUAAAUGGGAGGUAAAUUCCUUCUAAAGCUAAAUACUGGCCAGAGACCGAUAGCGCACAAGUAGAGUGAUCGAAAGAUGAAAAGCACUUUGGAAAGAGAGUCAAAAAGCACGUGAAAUUGUUGAAAGGGAAGCGCUUGCAGCCAGACUCGCUCGCGGUUGCUCAACCGGGCACCAGCCCGGUGCACUCUUCCGCGGGCGGGCCAGCAUCAGUUCGGGCGGGUGGAUAAAUACCUGCUAAAUGUACCUCUCUUCGGGGAGGACUUAUAGGGUAGGUGGCAUACACCCAGCCCGGACUGAGGUCCGCGCAUCUGCUAGGAUGCUGGCGUAAUGGCUGU
This 603-nucleotide ribosomal RNA is filed under the name uncultured fungus. RNAcentral describes it as "eukaryotic LSU rRNA". It matches the Rfam family "Eukaryotic large subunit ribosomal RNA", at positions 23 to 641 of the family's 3401-position model. The record is from RNAcentral. Lineage: Eukaryota; Fungi.